GAUGAACGCUGGCGGCGUGCCUAAUACAUGCAAGUCGAGCGAACGGACGAGAAGCUUGCUUUUCUGAUGUUAGCGGCGGACGGGUGAGUAACACGUGGAUAACCUCCCUAUAAGACUGGGAUAACUUCGGGACACCGGAGCUAAUACCGGAUAAUAUUUUGAACCGCAUGGUUCAUAAGUGAAAGACGGUCUUGCUGUCACUUCUAGAUGGAUCCGCGCUGCAUUAGCUAGUUGGUAAGGUAACGGCUUACCAAGGCAACGAUGCAUAGCCGACCUGAGAGGGUGAUCGGCCACACUGGAACUGAGACACGGUCCAGACUCCUACGGGAGGCAGCAGUAGGGAAUCUUCCGCAAUGGGCGAAAGCCUGACGGAGCAACGCCGCGUGAGUGAUGAAGGUCUUCGGAUCGUAAAACUCUGUUAUUAGGGAAGAACAUAUGUGUAAGUAACUGUGCACAUCUUGACGGUACCUAAUCAGAAAGCCACGGCUAACUACGUG
This 497-nucleotide ribosomal RNA is filed under the name uncultured bacterium. RNAcentral describes it as "partial 16S ribosomal RNA". It matches the Rfam family "Bacterial small subunit ribosomal RNA", at positions 28 to 507 of the family's 1533-position model. The record is from RNAcentral.